GUGCCAGCAGCCGCGGUAAUACGAAGGGUGCAAGCGUUACUCGGAAUUACUGGGCGUAAAGCGUGCGUAGGCGGUUUGUUAAGUCUGUCGUGAAAGCCCCGGGCUCAACCUGGGAAUGGCGAUGGAAACUGGCGAGCUAGAGUACGGUAGAGGAGAGUGGAAUUCCCGGUGUAGCAGUGAAAUGCGUAGAGAUCGGGAGGAACAUCAGUUGCGAAGGCGGCUCUCUGGACCAGUACUGACGCUGAGGCACGAAAGCGUGGGGAGCAAACAGGAUUAGAUACCCUGGUAGUCCACGCCCUAAACGAUGCGAACUGGACGUUGGGAGCAAUUAGGCUCUCAGUGUCGAAGCUAACGCGUUAAGUUCGCCGCCUGGGGAGUACGGUCGCAAGACUGAAACUCAAAGGAAUUGACGGGGGCCCGCACAAGCGGUGGAGUAUGUGGUUUAAUUCGAUGCAACGCGAAGAACCUUACCUGGCCUUGACAUCCAUGGAAUC
Molecule: ribosomal RNA, 494 nt
Filed under: uncultured Pseudomonadota bacterium
Lineage: Bacteria; Pseudomonadati; Pseudomonadota
Description: bacterial SSU rRNA
Rfam family: Bacterial small subunit ribosomal RNA
Source: RNAcentral